Molecule: ribosomal RNA, 253 nt
Filed under: uncultured bacterium
Lineage: Bacteria
Description: partial 16S ribosomal RNA
Rfam family: Bacterial small subunit ribosomal RNA
Source: RNAcentral
UACAGGGGGGGCAAGCGUUGUUCGGAAUUACUGGGCGUAAAGGGCUUGUAGGUGGCCAACUAAGUCACACGUGAAAUCCCCAGGCUUAACCUGGGAACUGCGUCUGAUACUGGGAGGCUUGAGUAUGGGAGAGGGAUGUAGAAUUCCAGGUGUAGCGGUGAAAUGCGUAGAUAUCUGGAGGAAUACCGGUGGCGAAGGCGGCAUCCUGGACCAUAACUGACGCUGAGGCGCGAAAGCUAGGGGAGCAAACGGG